GGGGAUUUAGCUCAGCGGCAUAAGCACCUGCCUUGCAAGCAGGUGGUCGUGAGUGAGUUCCAUCCCCG
This 68-nucleotide transfer RNA is filed under the name Cavia porcellus (domestic guinea pig). It matches the Rfam family "tRNA". From Rfam's summary of the family: Transfer RNA (tRNA) molecules are approximately 80 nucleotides in length. Their secondary structure includes four short double-helical elements and three loops (D, anti-codon, and T loops). Further hydrogen bonds mediate the characteristic L-shaped molecular structure. tRNAs have two regions of fundamental functional importance: the anti-codon, which is responsible for specific mRNA codon recognition, and the 3' end, to which the tRNAs corresponding amino acid is attached (by aminoacyl-tRNA synthetases). tRNAs cope with the degeneracy of the genetic code in two manners: having more than one tRNA (with a specific anti-codon) for a particular amino acid; and 'wobble' base-pairing, i.e. permitting non-standard base-pairing at the 3rd anti-codon position. Lineage: Eukaryota; Metazoa; Chordata; Mammalia; Rodentia; Caviidae. The record is from Rfam by way of RNAcentral.